CAUCAUUUCUAGUGAGAAGUCCAUCUCCACCUGUGGCUCUUAAGGAGCGUGAGAAGCUUAAUCUCAUGGCCUUCCCUCCUAAGCUGGUGGUGGAGCAGUUUACCAUGAUGGAUGCGGAGCUCUUCCAGAAGGUGGUGUCCUCUCCGUGUCUGGGCUCCACCUGGGGCAAGAGGAACAAGCCCGGCAAUGAGCACCAGACACCCAACGUCCAGGCCACCGUCGACCACGUCAGAAGGGUGGCCAGCUUCGUCAUCAUCCGCUGCCUCGGGGACCCGAGCAAGACAGCCCAGGACAGGGAGUUCGAGAUCCUGAAGAACUUCUUCUCGUCCUGCACUGUCAACUCUGCUCUGCAGAAAACCUUCACAAGCCACCUGAAGAACACACGGGGGAAGUUUCCCGCCAGGACCCUGCUGCUCCUUCUAUCUUCACCACAUCUCCAAGGGGCUGCAUCCUGCCUGCCCCAGGGAUGUGCGUGGCAGAGGAUUCCCAUGGCCCAGGUGGAAAAACAGGCUGCUCAUCCUCAGGAGGGGCCCUCCACGUUUGCUCCCCCAGAGAGCAACCCCCAGAGAGUGCAGGAGAAGCAGCAGCAGCGGCAGGGGAAUGGGAUCAACCUUGAGAAGAGUACUGAGGAGCAGCUGUGGCACUCCCUGCAGGGGAGAGGAAGGAGGUGGAAAUCAGAGACCUUCUGGGCAGAACAGUCCUUGGCUUCACCCGCUGUAUCUUACAUUGAGUGGAAGAGUUUGAUACCAGAGAAGUGGGAGACCCAUCCAAUUGGCGGCUACACCUUGUCCUGCCAGCCAGAGCGCUAGACCUAGUUGGCCUGCAGAGUACGCAAGGCCAAGAAGAACCGGCCAUCAUCAAGGUCAGGGGUUCAUCUUGGCUGAAAUCAUCCCAAGUGUUUUGUUUUCUGUCCAGCUUGCCUCCCUCAACACGAGGUUGAUGAGACUCACCCAGCAUGUGUGUGUCAGCGUUUGCUCCUUGGCAUGGCUGAGGGCGUUCUGCUCUGUGGUUGCCCUACAGUGCGCUCGUCUUGCAGGUCAUCUCCUGUGAACAUUCUUGUACAAACGCUUUUUUUUGCUUCUUAAUUCCUUUAUUAGCAUUUAAGUGACACACCUUUGCAUUUUUUAGUGGUUGGUCCAGAUUACAAUAUGCAUCUUUAACAUAUCACUGCCUACCUAGACUUAAUAGUGCACCAGUUUAAUCAAUGUAAAAUAUGGAAGCCUUGCUACAGAACAGUUCCAUUUACCUAUGUCUGUCCAUUAUGUUAUUGUUGUCAUAAAUUUUACAUCUACCCAUGUUGUAAAUCCCACAAUACAAUGUUAUAAUUUUUGCUUUAAA
This is an RNA transcript of Diceros bicornis minor, 1338 nucleotides long. It is a transcript of the gene named ral guanine nucleotide dissociation stimulator-like, with no coding region annotated. NCBI's taxonomy places the organism in Eukaryota, Metazoa, Chordata, Mammalia, Perissodactyla, Rhinocerotidae. The transcript has 8 exons. The record is from RefSeq and is a predicted model, not a curated record.